AUUGAACGCUGGCGGCAGGCCUAACACAUGCAAGUCGAGCGGAUGAAGGGAGCUUGCUCCUGGAUUCAGCGGCGGACGGGUGAGUAAUGCCUAGGAAUCUGCCUGGUAGUGGGGGAUAACGUCCGGAAACGGGCGCUAAUACCGCAUACGUCCUAAGGGAGAAAGUGGGGGAUCUUCGGACCUCACGCUAUCAGAUGAGCCUAGGUCGGAUUAGCUAGUUGGUGGGGUAAAGGCCUACCAAGGCGACGAUCCGUAACUGGUCUGAGAGGAUGAUCAGUCACACUGGAACUGAGACACGGUCCAGACUCCUACGGGAGGCAGCAGUGGGGAAUAUUGGACAAUGGGCGAAAGCCUGAUCCAGCCAUGCCGCGUGUGUGAAGAAGGUCUUCGGAUUGUAAAGCACUUUAAGUUGGGAGGAAGGGCAGUAAGUUAAUACCUUGCUGUUUUGACGUUACCAACAGAAUAAGCUCCGGCUAACUUCGUG
This 484-nucleotide ribosomal RNA is filed under the name uncultured bacterium. RNAcentral's name for it is "partial 16S ribosomal RNA". It matches the Rfam family "Bacterial small subunit ribosomal RNA", at positions 30 to 507 of the family's 1533-position model. The record is from RNAcentral.